Sander lucioperca (pikeperch) is the source of this 800-nucleotide long non-coding RNA. RefSeq lists it as uncharacterized. The record is from RefSeq and is a predicted model, not a curated record. NCBI's taxonomy places the organism in Eukaryota, Metazoa, Chordata, Actinopteri, Perciformes, Percidae. The transcript has 2 exons.
UCACCUGGGUUGACCCAUCCGUCCACGCCAAUCUCUCUAAAUGGACUUUGAUUAGAAACAUAUUUGUGAUACGUCAAACACUUUAUCUCUGGGAGGAAAUACAUUUCCCUCAAAACAUAAACGAGAAUGCAGUUUAGUUGUAUAGGAAGGUACUUUUUAGGAGACAGGGCUGGUUAAUUUUACCCCACUCAAGAGUUUUUACCUGGCAUUUAUUAGAAACCAGCAAUUAUUUGAGCAUCAGCUUUUAUUCUGUUUUGACAGCAUUUAUACAAGGUACUAGCAUACCAUCAUUGUGCCAGAGUGGCUGGUAUUUUUUUUCCUUUAACAAGACAACGACACAGCUGAUGGUCAGCUUAGUGUGAUUUUUUUUUCUUACAGUGUAAUCACUGUCUCAUAGUAGUCAGUGUUGACAUUGUUAUAAUAACCAUGACCACAGUCCUUCCCUAACCUUAAAGAUUAAUUUAAGAUUAAAAUGUCAUUGCAAAUUGUGCAACCAACAGUGCCUCCACAUCCACUUGAUUAACAUCACGUUAAUUUGAAUUAGUUAAGAUAUAUAAGAUAUUCUCUAUGUAAAACGAGAUCCCGUUAAACUCCUUGUUUUAUUUACAGACUAUUGUAUUGGCUGUCGGCUUGUAUUAAUCUGUGUAUUGAAAUUAACUUUAACGUCAAUUAACUUGAUUAAUUGCACGCUCCAGUACUGUGUUUUGAAUUUUGGUGGUGGUUCGACCAUUUUGUUUCCAUUUGAUAACAUUGAUGUGCCUUUAAAUGAAUAAAGUAUUAGUCCAGUCAGUUUCAGAGAA